Cinara cedri is the source of this 774-nucleotide non-coding RNA. Lineage: Eukaryota; Metazoa; Arthropoda; Insecta; Hemiptera; Aphididae. The record is from the annotation of a GenBank genome assembly.
GUACUCAUAAUAAAAAUAUCCGAAAUAUUUGAUUUAUAACUUUAACAACAUUAAAAUUUACAAAAAUUGAACUAUAAAAUCAAUAAGUAUGUAGUAAUUAAACAUUUGUACGAAUGGGUUUUGUACAAGCGAUUUUUUAAUUAUAUCCUUAUAAUCAAUUUUUCUGCGUACAUUAGUCAAAUAAAUUAAGCCCGACUUCUUUACAGCUAAAUUUUCAUAAUAUAUAUCAAAUAUUAUGUCUCACUUCUUUAACAUACUGGUGAAAUUAAUUAUACAAACAAAUUAUAGAUUCAAUAACAAAUUCUACUGUUUGAAGUUUUUUAUUUGUACCCUUAUAGCAUUCCGAGACUUUGUUUCAAAAUCAAUCUAUUGUAUGGUAUAAAAAAAAAAAAUGGUCAAAUUAAUUUUUUUUUAAAUCAUUAAAUUACUCAAAAUUUGUCUGCCUUUCAAAAUUUGCCGCCUAGGGCUAUAACCCUGGUUAGCCCUAGAGUAAAUACGUCCCUAGGUCUUCCAAAUCUCAUGCUACAGACAAAUUUGGUAAUGAACCUGUGUAUACGACUAUACGAGUUUUACAUUAAAAUUAAUAUUUAGGUAUACCCUUACUAUUUGAAUUGUAAAGUAAAAAAACCCUAGGAUAAUGGAGACGAUAUAGCCACUGUUAUAGGUAAAGAGUUGGGAAGGUAGUAUAGAGAAAAUUGAAUGUAUACCUGUAAGCAACAAUAAACCAAUGCUAAAUAAAAUACAAUUCUGAGCGGAGUUCGGUUAAUAGUGUUG